This is a non-coding RNA of Peromyscus maniculatus bairdii (prairie deer mouse), 371 nucleotides long. NCBI's taxonomy places the organism in Eukaryota, Metazoa, Chordata, Mammalia, Rodentia, Cricetidae. The record is from RefSeq and is a predicted model, not a curated record.
AACUGUUGUGGGACAACUGGGGAUCAUAAGUCGCAUGGACCCCAUGACCCUCUACCUUCCUAGCUUUGGUUGUGCUUGUAGGACCACUCACGGUGCAUGGAAAACAGCAGCCUCUACCACCAGGAAGGACUUCAUACAAUCACAGCUGCUCAUCAUCUUGGUCACUUUAACCCCUCCAACUUACUCUGUGACUACCUUAUGCAAAAAACAGCAAGACCUGUGUAAAUCCUCUGGAGAAUGGAGAUCUGGGGUGCAGCAGGAGGAAGAUGCAGCACUAUUGGUCAGUGGAGUCCUGUCCUCCUCAGUGCUGACCUCCUUCAUCCAGGCUUCCCAUGGUGCUUCCCACCUCCUGAUCCAAAAAUUCUGCAUCA